RNAcentral lists this long non-coding RNA (773 nucleotides) under Anas platyrhynchos platyrhynchos (common mallard). Its description in RNAcentral is "lncRNA (ENSAPLG00000022002.1)". The record is from RNAcentral. Lineage: Eukaryota; Metazoa; Chordata; Aves; Anseriformes; Anatidae.
AUGUCACUGCCCAGCGAUAACUCUGCCAUCUGGUCUACCUCACCCAGGCACAGGGCAGGCAGCGGUGCUCCAAUGUUUGGGAACUUUCGUAGCUUCAUGCCUUGGGCUCUGCCUUUCUUUUCUCCUCUGCUGUAUCUAGUGCCUCAGAGCAGCAACCAUCAAGCAGUGAGGAACUGGAGACGCCGCGGCCUGCACCUAGCCCUGCCCCACACCUGGCUCUGCAGCAAACCAGAGGGUUACCGGCACGGUGUGUUCCCGCAGCCGAGCAGCACUCUUACAGGGUGUACGCCCUCUGAUUUAUUCUAGACUGGCUCUACGUCUGCAGCAACAAGCAACCACCCAUCAGGGUAUUGCCAACGGGGCUGAAAUUACAUUGCCACAGCCAAGGAAGGUCGUUCAUGUUUAGUCAGCUCUGCUGUCACCAGGGCUCUGCCUCUUAACUUUGCUGGCCUGUCAUAGACAGGGUAAAGGCACAUCAUUUUUGUACUUUGCUAUAUAGCAUGGACACAAGUCUGGAAGGUCUGCAAAACUCUUUUUUUUUUUUUUCCAUCAGGUUUCAUUCAGUCUGCAUUUUUUCUGCUGCUGUGAAUUUCCCAGUCUCAUGGAAUAUCAAAUCGUUCGGAGAUACUGAUUCUGUUCCUGUUCAUAAAGGUUAGCAUCAUUUUACUCUUGGUUAUGAGAUCUUGUAAGGAACCUGUUUUUUAUUACAUCAGUCUACCUUAAAAAAGUAGAAACCAAAUAAACCCACCUCAAUCCUUUCUUUUUACUGCUGG